CAGCAGUGGGGAAUAUUGCACAAUGGGGGGAACCCUGAUGCAGCGACGCCGCGUGAGUGAAGAAGUAUUUCGGUAUGUAAAGCUCUAUCAGCAGGGAAGAAAAUGACGGUACCUGACUAAGAAGCCCCGGCUAACUACGUGCCAGCAGCCGCGGUAAUACGUAGGGGGCAAGCGUUAUCCGGAUUUACUGGGUGUAAAGGGAGCGUAGACGGCAGAGCAAGUCUGAAGUGAAAGCCCGCGGCCCAACUGCGGGACUGCUUUGGAAACUGCCCGGCUAGAGUGCUGGAGAGGUAAGCGGAAUUCCUAGUGUAGCGGUGAAAUGCGUAGAUAUUAGGAGGAACACCAGUGGCGAAGGCGGCUUACUGGACAGUAACUGACGUUGAGGCUCGAAAGCGUGGGGAGCAAACAGGAUUAGA
Molecule: ribosomal RNA, 416 nt
Filed under: uncultured Lachnospiraceae bacterium
Lineage: Bacteria; Bacillati; Bacillota; Clostridia; Lachnospirales; Lachnospiraceae
Description: bacterial SSU rRNA
Rfam family: Bacterial small subunit ribosomal RNA
Source: RNAcentral